RNAcentral lists this ribosomal RNA (120 nucleotides) under Paracoccus halophilus. The record is from RNAcentral. Lineage: Bacteria; Pseudomonadati; Pseudomonadota; Alphaproteobacteria; Rhodobacterales; Paracoccaceae.
GGUCUGGUGGCUUCAGCACGAGCGAAACACCCGAUCCCAUCCCGAACUCGGCCGUUAAGCGCCGUAGCGCCAAUGGUACUGCGUCCCAAGACGUGGGAGAGUAGGUCACCGCCAGACCUG